Molecule: ribosomal RNA, 585 nt
Filed under: uncultured beta proteobacterium
Lineage: Bacteria; Pseudomonadati; Pseudomonadota; Betaproteobacteria
Description: bacterial SSU rRNA
Rfam family: Bacterial small subunit ribosomal RNA
Source: RNAcentral
CCUACGGGAGGCAGCAGUGGGGAAUUUUGGACAAUGGGGGCAANCCUGAUCCAGCAAUGCCGCGUGAGUGAAGAAGGCCUUCGGGUUGUAAAGCUCUUUUGUCAGGGAAGAAAAGGGUCUGGCUAAUAUCCAGAUCUGCUGACGGUACCUGAAGAAUAAGCACCGGCUAACUACGUGCCAGCAGCCGCGGUAAUACGUAGGGUGCAAGCGUUAAUCGGAAUUACUGGGCGUAAAGCGUGCGCAGGCGGUUUCGUAAGUCUGUCGUGAAAUCCCCGGGCUUAACCUGGGAAUGGCGAUGGAGACUGCGAGGCUAGAGUUUGGCAGAGGGGGGUAGAAUUCCACGUGUAGCAGUGAAAUGCGUAGAGAUGUGGAGGAACACCGAUGGCGAAGGCAGCCCCCUGGGUCAAAACUGACGCUCAUGCACGAAAGCGUGGGGAGCAAACAGGAUUAGAUACCCUGGUAGUCCACGCCCUAAACGAUGUCUACUAGUUGUCGGGUCUUAAUUGACUUAGUAACGCAGCUAACGCGUGAAGUAGACCGCCUGGGGAGUACGGUCGCAAGAUUAAAACUCUAAGGAAUUGACGG